Molecule: small nuclear RNA, 141 nt
Gene: U4
Rfam family: U4 spliceosomal RNA
About the family: U4 small nuclear RNA (U4 snRNA) is a component of the major U2-dependent spliceosome.
Source: Ensembl
AGUUUUGCGCAGUGGCAGUACUGUAGCCCAUAAGGUUUGUCUGAGGUGCCAUUAUUGCUAAUUGAAAACUUUUCCCAACUUAAUAGAAAUAUAGUUAUCUUUUCUGUGUGUUUGUAUGAUGUAGUUCUUCAAUCCAGAAGG